RNAcentral lists this non-coding RNA (931 nucleotides) under Vibrio sp. qd031. RNAcentral's name for it is "Bacterial large subunit ribosomal RNA". It matches the Rfam family "Bacterial large subunit ribosomal RNA", at positions 613 to 1552 of the family's 2925-position model. The record is from Rfam by way of RNAcentral. Lineage: Bacteria; Pseudomonadati; Pseudomonadota; Gammaproteobacteria; Vibrionales; Vibrionaceae.
UAAUGGGUCAGCGACUUAUAUUUAGUAGCAAGGUUAACCGUAUAGGGGAGCCGUAGGGAAACCGAGUCUUAACUGGGCGUCGAGUUGCUAGGUAUAGACCCGAAACCAGGUGAUCUAGCCAUGGGCAGGUUGAAGGUUGAGUAACAUCAACUGGAGGACCGAACCGACUAAUGUUGAAAAAUUAGCGGAUGACUUGUGGCUAGGGGUGAAAGGCCAAUCAAACCUGGAGAUAGCUGGUUCUCCCCGAAAGCUAUUUAGGUAGCGCCUCGGACGAAUACCACUGGGGGUAGAGCACUGUUAAGGCUAGGGGGUCAUCCCGACUUACCAACCCUUUGCAAACUCCGAAUACCAGUGAGUACUAUCCGGGAGACACACGGCGGGUGCUAACGUCCGUCGUGGAGAGGGAAACAACCCAGACCGCCAGCUAAGGUCCCAAAGUAUAGCUAAGUGGGAAACGAUGUGGGAAGGCUUAGACAGCUAGGAUGUUGGCUUAGAAGCAGCCAUCAUUUAAAGAAAGCGUAAUAGCUCACUAGUCGAGUCGGCCUGCGCGGAAGAUGUAACGGGGCUAAGCUAUACACCGAAGCUGCGGCAAUAACUUUUAGUUAUUGGGUAGGGGAGCGUUCUGUAAGCCGCUGAAGGUGGACUGUAAGGUCUGCUGGAGGUAUCAGAAGUGCGAAUGCUGACAUGAGUAACGAUAAAGGGGGUGAAAAACCCCCUCGCCGGAAGACCAAGGGUUCCUGUCCAACGUUAAUCGGGGCAGGGUAAGUCGACCCCUAAGGCGAGGCCGAAAGGCGUAGUCGAUGGGAAACGGGUUAAUAUUCCCGUACUUCUUACAAUUGCGAUGGGGGGACGGAGAAGGCUAAGUGGGCCUGGCGACGGUUGUCCAGGUUUAAGUAUGUAGGCUGAUUUCUUAGGUAAAUCCGGGAAAUCA